Molecule: long non-coding RNA, 1420 nt
Filed under: Homo sapiens (human)
Lineage: Eukaryota; Metazoa; Chordata; Mammalia; Primates; Hominidae
Description: HSALNT0283801
Source: RNAcentral
UUUCUGUCUCAGUCUCUCUGUCUCCCUUCGUUCUCUUUCUCUCCCCCUGCUACCCCCCCCCACAGUUACACACACACACACACACACACACACACACACACACACACACACGCAGUGUGAAAGAUGCGAGCCAUAGCAUCUCGUAACAUGAAGGCCAUCCAGCUCCAUCCUCCCACUGCUGCUUGAACAAUAUGCUUAACACGUAGUGCCGCAGUCGCUGCUUGGAUUGAAUGUGUUCAUGCACAGAUUUUAUCAUCUUGUUACUCAAACGACUGAUGGCUUCUGACCCUGCCUGAAAAUUUCCUAAGAGGUAACAGUUCUAGGACACAGAUGCUGGAGGGAGUGGAGGAAGAAGUUUAAUUACCACAUACAGCUCUUCCAUAUGCAAGGUCUCUGGGGCAAAACUGUCAUUCUGUCUGAAGCCAGACCCUCAAUGUCAGACUAAGAGAGUCGGAUGGAGACUACAUCUUCUGUGUGUGUUGCAAUGGGAGGACUUCUCUCCACCGAGUUUAGUGAGGGGGUAGCAGAGGUGGAAGAGCAGACAGAUGUGGCAAUAUGGUGAUAAGGUGAACCCUACACAGGUCUGCUCACCACAAGGAGGCAGAAAGCAGGAAAAGCAGAAAGUGCCAAAGGAGAGGAUAUACAAGAUGUCUUAAUGAGGAGUUACUGAUCCAGUCAUGGCCAGUGCAACACUGUCUCACAUGUCUGAAUGCUGUGCUGCACUGUUGACUGUCACUGUUGGGGAUAUUGGAAGAUCACAAGAAACUCCUGAUCCUGAAUACUGGCCUGAGCCUCUUUUGGAAGAGGCCUUCCAGAACCCUACUCUUGCUAGAACUGAAUGCCAGAGCUGUGUAAUGGGGACAUCCUGUUGUGAACUUAUGUCCUUUCUGGACAAAUGUAUUCAAUUUGAGGCAGCAUGCCCAAUGGUUAGCCACUCAACCUCUGAACCCAAACCCCCAGCUCUACUGCUUAAUAGCUAUAUAACCUUGAGAAAAUUCAUUAAUAUUCCUGUACUUCAAUUUUAUCAUGUAUAAAAUAAGGAUAAUAAUUUUACAUGUCUUAUGGGGUUGUUAUGAUGAUUAAAUGGGUUAACAUUUCUAAAAAAUACUUGAACAGUGCCUGAUACAUUGUAAAUGCAUAUAUAUGUGUUUUUAAAAAUAGACAAUUAUAUACCAUUAAAUGUUAACCUGGCUUUGAUGCAGCUAGUUGAUCAAAUAAUCUAAAUCUUUGUAAUUGGAUAGUAAUAGAAAAGAAGGAAGAGAAAGAGAAUAUGCAUGUUUACAAAAGCAAAAGCCUAGGCUUUGGAUGUGGUGAGGACAGACAUCUCUGAGAUGUCCUUAAUUUUAUCCACUUCCAUUGAAUGUUAUUUGCGUUCACCUCUUGUGCAAAAUAAGAACCAAAAGGGAGUCUUCCUUAUUAU